RNAcentral lists this long non-coding RNA (730 nucleotides) under Brassica rapa (field mustard). RNAcentral's name for it is "long non-coding RNA (BRAP_LNC003023)". Lineage: Eukaryota; Viridiplantae; Streptophyta; Magnoliopsida; Brassicales; Brassicaceae. The record is from RNAcentral.
UUUUAGAUUUUUUGAUCAAUAGUUGUAUUUUUUAAAUAUAAUUCUCAAAAAUUCUAUUUUAGGAAAGUUUUCAUUUUUACAUAGAAAUAUUGUAGAUUUGGGGUUGUGGUUUUGUAAUUAGGAUAAUAAUAAUUUUUGUUGAUAGAUGAGUAUUCUUUUAGAUUUUUUGAUCAAUAGCUGUAUUUUUUAAAUAUACUUCUCAAAAAUUAUAUUUUAGGAAAGUUCUAAUUUUUUAUAGAAAUAUUGUAGAUUUGGGGUUUGUGGUUUAGAAAUUAGGAUAACAAGAAUUUUUGUUGAUAGAUGAGUAUUCUUUUAGAUUUUUUGAUCAAUAGUUGUAUUUUUUAAAUAUUAUUCUCAAAAAUUCUAUUUUAGGAAAGUUUUCAUUUUUUCAUAAAAAUAUUGUAGAUUUUGGGUUGUGGUUUAGAAAUUAGGAUAACAAGAAUUUUUGUUGAUAGAUGAAUAUUUUUUUAAAUUUUUUAAUCAAUAAAUUGUAUUUUUUUAAAAUAAUUCUCAAAAAUUCUAUUUUUGAGGAAAAUUUUCAUUUUUAUAGAAAUAUUGUAGAUUUGGGGUUUGUGGUUUAGAAAUUAGGAUAACAAGAAUUUUUGUUGAUAGAUGAGUAUUCUUUUAGAUUUUUUUAUCAAUAGUUGUAUUUAUUAAAUAUAAUUCUCAAAAAUUCUAUUUUAGGAAAGUAUUCAUUUUUACAUAGAAAUAUUGUAGAUUUGGGGUUGUG